GACGAACGCUGGCGGCGUGCCUAACACAUGCAAGUCGAACGGGGUAAUCCUUCGGGGUUACUUAGUGGCGAACGGGUGAGUAACGCGUGAGAAACCUGCCUCUCAGUGGGGGACAACAGUUGGAAACGACUGCUAGUACCGCAUAAUGCAGCUAGACCGCAUGGUCUUACUGCCAAAGCUUUAAGUGCUGAAAGAUGGCCUCGCGUCUGAUUAGCUAGUUGGUGGGGUAACGGCUCACCAAGGCGACGAUCAGUAGCCGGUCUGAGAGGAUGAACGGCCACAUUGGGACUGAGAUACGGCCCAGACUCCUACGGGAGGCAGCAGUGGGGAAUAUUGGGCAAUGGGGGAAACCCUGACCCAGCAACGCCGCGUGAAGGAAGAA
This 382-nucleotide ribosomal RNA is filed under the name uncultured bacterium. RNAcentral's name for it is "bacterial SSU rRNA". It matches the Rfam family "Bacterial small subunit ribosomal RNA", at positions 28 to 412 of the family's 1533-position model. The record is from RNAcentral.